RNAcentral lists this non-coding RNA (20 nucleotides) under Arabidopsis thaliana (thale cress). Lineage: Eukaryota; Viridiplantae; Streptophyta; Magnoliopsida; Brassicales; Brassicaceae. The record is from RNAcentral.
AGUGGUGUGGCCGUCAAUCA